This is an RNA transcript of Girardinichthys multiradiatus, 659 nucleotides long. It is a transcript of the gene named coiled-coil-helix-coiled-coil-helix domain-containing protein 5-like, with no coding region annotated. NCBI's taxonomy places the organism in Eukaryota, Metazoa, Chordata, Actinopteri, Cyprinodontiformes, Goodeidae. The record is from RefSeq and is a predicted model, not a curated record. The transcript has 5 exons.
ACCUGAUGCAUACUAUGGGUGUUAAUCGCACAGACGUCGUUUCCACACACUUGGUAGUACAACCUUGUUUGCAAAGCUUCUAUAGUCGACACAACUUCGAACAACAACAUGCAAGCGGCUAUGGAAAUAUCAGCAAAAUACUGUUAUAAAGAACUAGAGACAUAUGGGUCUUGCGUUGCCUCAAAUCCAGCGACAUGGCAGCAAAAGUGCCAUGACCUAAAGAUGAAGGUUUCGCAAUGUACAUCAUCACAUCCAGUGAUCCAGAAGAUCAGACAAGACUGUUCAGCAGAAUUCGGGAAGUUUGAGCAAUGCCUGAAAGAAAACCAGAACACACCUACCUCCUGUUCAGCACACAUAACCCGCUUUCUAGGAUGUGCAGACUCAGUUGACAUCAGCAGUGUGGCUUCAGAUUCAGGUUCUGAGUGAUCGUAGGAUUCACCCAUUUCCAUCGUCAGCCCUCUGGCUCCAGCAGCAUGCCCAAGCUGGAUUUGGAUAUGUCAACUGUGUGUCUCACUGUGACCUACUGUGACUGGUUUCAACUGUAAAGAGUAAAAAUCCUCCAGUACUAUAAAGUACAGCAUUUGAGUGAGCCCUUUAAUAAGGGUUUUCAUCUGAAAACCAUUUAUACUUGCCUUUGAAUAAAAAAGUCAGGUUCGCAA